UGGCGAAAAACAAUCAGAGGAUGGUAAUAGUGACACGACUAACAAAAACAAUCCAGCUUUGGAUUUUCCAGUUGAAAAAUGGCUACUACCUAUUAUUGGAUUUUUACUCGGAUUUUUAGCCACACUAUGUAUAUAGGUACCAAACGAGGGAGUUAAUUAGUAUGAGGAGUGCAAUUUUGACCUUUACUUUGGCUACGUUCGUUGCUAUUUCAAUAAUUUUCACCAUCGUCUCGGUGCUUCUACUUUUUGCGUCUAUAGAAAAAGACUCUCCUCAAGUGUCGCGGUACUUGUGGUUAACUAUUGUACACUUGUGCUUGCAAAAUGUUUUAGCGAUUGUAGUACCUAUCCUUUUGAUAUUCGAAAAGAACGCUCCUACAGAAGCAAGUUUGAAUUGGAUGGUCGUCGUCAUGAUAGUUGGCCUUGGUUGGACACAUUUAACCAUAAGGUUCAGAACAUUUACAAAUGCUUUCAUUUUUACCAGAUAUUAAGAUCGAUGUCUUCAAAUUUGUUAUUUAUUCAAAAAUAUCUUACAACUUUUCAGUGAGUUCGAUUUCCAAGAUUUAGUGAAAAUUGAAAAAUUGUUCAAUAAAGCAACAUUGUUCAAUUAUUAACAGAAUAUUGUUUAAAUUUGCG
Molecule: long non-coding RNA, 633 nt
Organism: Hyposmocoma kahamanoa
Lineage: Eukaryota; Metazoa; Arthropoda; Insecta; Lepidoptera; Cosmopterigidae
Exons: 4
Source: RefSeq, a predicted model, not a curated record